AUGCUCUUCCCUGACUCCCUGAAACCUUCUCGCUCUUUGCUCUUGCUGGCACUGUGGCUUUCUGUGCCAUGGUCCCGUGUCACUUCUGUCCCCUGCUCAAAUCCUGUGCUCAGUCGCCUCAACCUUCACCUCCAUCUUUUCCUAGAUCCUGCCUCUGGCAGGGCUCCCUGCACUGCUGCUCCCUGCUUCACUUGGCCUUGUAUCCGAGUGCAUUGGCCAUGGCCUCCUCCCAUCAGUGUCUGCAGCUGGGGCUUCCUUGAGGGAGAGGAGCUGGUCUUCGGCAUCAUCUCAAAGGCAGCACGUGUGAAUUCCUGUUGGCAUCCUCAGGGCCCACCUCAGCCUUGCACAUCCUUGGUGGCGUUUUGGAAAAAUGGCACCAGGCCCCAAGAAGCUCAAAGAACCACAGAAAUUCCUUCCCUCCCAGUGAGACUGAGUACUGUCACCGCCUUGGCCAAGCUGAGGACUGGCACCAGGCUGUCGGCGCUGAAAAGGCCCCAACUCAAACACCAAGAAAUGAAUGCAGAUGCUCGUGCUGGCAUGACCUGCGAUGGGAUACGCACUGUCCAAAAACAGGCAAAGCAAAAUUAAUCAUAGCCAGAAAACGAAGCGAACAAAGAGUUCAUCUCAACAGAACGAACUUGAUGAAUUAAUGAUGACUGAGACUUAUUUUCUUUCGACGAGACCUUUAAUGAUCACAGAUGGACUCUGAUGAGCUGUGACUGGGAACAGGGAACUAAGAUCAUGCCAAGCCAGGGAGAGAGCGUUAGUGAACCCAAGGCAGAAAUGCCAGUGUUUUCUCUAUGCCUGUCCGACUGGGAGAAUCACAGUGGCUGAACUUCAAGUUGAACCCAGUCUCCUGUUUGCCACGAGGGGCAACCUU
Molecule: long non-coding RNA, 880 nt
Filed under: Oryctolagus cuniculus (rabbit)
Lineage: Eukaryota; Metazoa; Chordata; Mammalia; Lagomorpha; Leporidae
Description: lncRNA (ENSOCUG00000039211.1)
Source: RNAcentral